This 1692-nucleotide unclassified non-coding RNA is filed under the name Hevea brasiliensis (rubber tree). Lineage: Eukaryota; Viridiplantae; Streptophyta; Magnoliopsida; Malpighiales; Euphorbiaceae. The record is from RNAcentral.
UUUUUUUUUGUUCAACGGAAGGCUACGAGUGAGGUGGAUCUUAGGAUGGACAUGAGACAAUUAAUAUGAAACGUAGUUUUCUUAUUUCAAAAUCUGUCAUUAAAAAACUUUUAAAAAUGUUUUCCUCCAUACCAAACACACCACAACACUGUGAUCCCCUUAUGGGACGAGUCGAGUUAAUUGAAUUGAGAAUUAUCAGGAGAGGGGAAAAAGGAACACGAAACCACUCUCAAUGGGUAUUGUCUCUUUAUGAUCUCUAGGAAAUGGACUCAACAUAUAUAACAAUUAGUUUCUUUAUCAUUUUUAGUUACUUAAGGGCGUACAUUGUGAAUUCUUUUGUUUCUUAGUUUAAGAUAUGACAGUCCGAGCUGAAUUACUCUAUUGCGGGUUUUCUCGGAAUGUCUAGGAGGCACAGGUCAGUUUCCUCAUUUGCUUUUUGAUAUGGACUUAAUUUAGCUAUUGACAGGAAUUAAUUUAACUUUCAUUUACAUAUGUUCGUGUGUGCAUCUUUUGGCGUAACUGGUUAUUACCUUACCUCAGGACCAAAUUGGUUAUUGGGCAGUACUGCAAGUAUUAGUAACAGGAGCAACGAAUAGACGUGAAGUUUGAAGAUGAGAAAGAAGUAGCUACUCAGACUGGAUAUGAAUCUGAACUCAAAACAAGCCUUGCAGAGAAGGAAGAACGAAGGAUGCGCCGUGUAUUAGCUAACAGAGAAUCUGCCAAGCGGACAAUUCGUCGAAGACAGUUUUUCCUUAAAAGGCAAUGCGAGAGGAAAUGAGAAGAAAAGCAGAUGAUCUCGCACUGGAGAAUGAAAAUUUGAAGAAGAUUAAAGAACUUGCUGCUGCGGAAUACAAUUUCUUGAAGAACAAAAACGAUAACUUGAGAAUGCAGAUAGCUAAAAAUGUGAAGGCUGAAGUAGAGGAAACAUAUGAUGAUUCCAAGUCUCCUCUCGUGGAAACUCAUACUUCAACCACAUCCACAACUUCCUUAUAUAACCAAAUGCCUCUCAUUUUGUCUUCCGCCCUCCCGUGUUUUGAUGGUCUCUUAUUACAACGCGGUGGUAUGCAUCAUAUUUCUAGCAUUACACCACCGGUGCUUACCUCCCCCGGAGAAGGAACAACACCAUCCGACAAAUUAGAAAGCUCCGUGAUGGUGAUGAUGAACAACAACGUCCCAGGAGGUACUCCUCUAUAUAUAGUUCCCUUUCCUUGGCAGAUGCAAAGUUAUCCUUUUCAUUCGUCGACAACCUCAUAUCCCGACGACGAUAAACAUAAGAAUUCAACUCCUAUACAUGAAAGUUGAAACAAAAACUCCUCAUUCAAUAGAUACUAUGCCUACUCACUUCCUUCACAACAUUGACAAGGUCAAACAACUAGCAGGGUUUCGUUCAACUUCAAGCCCUUUCGUAUUACCACAAGCUAUUGCUACACAAAAUGAGAUUAUUCAACAAAUUAUGUUAUGUACACCUGAUUUCAAAUCUGAUGUUGGGCGCGUAGCAAGAGCCUCUGCAGAUGAUGCAUUGUUAGAACAUAGAACAUGUAACUCGGAAGUUGAAGAUGCUUAUGAAAUGAAAAUACGUGUUUUGUUAUCAGUUCGAUUUCUUGCCAAGGACAAGAUGAGAGUUGCAAUUUUGAGUUUGGUAUCAACAAGGUGUUACGGGAUCCCACUUAUUCGGUCGAUUUUUAUAUCUUU